GAUGAACGCUGGCGGCGUGCCUAAUACAUGCAAGUCGAGCGAACAGACGAGGAGCUUGCUCCUCUGACGUUAGCGGCGGACGGGUGAGUAACACGUGGAUAACCUACCUAUAAGACUGGGAUAACUUCGGGAAACCGGAGCUAAUACCGGAUAAUAUAUUGAACCGCAUGGUUCAAUAGUGAAAGACGGUUUUGCUGUCACUUAUAGAUGGAUCCGCGCCGCAUUAGCUAGUUGGUAAGGUAACGGCUUACCAAGGCAACGAUGCGUAGCCGACCUGAGAGGGUGAUCGGCCACACUGGAACUGAGACAAGGUCCAGACUCCUACGGGAGGCAGCAGUAGGGAAUCUUCCGCAAUGGGCGAAAGCUUGACGGAGCAACGCCGCGUGAGUGAUGAAGGUCUUCGGAUCGUAAAACUCUGUUAUUAGGGAAGAACAAAUGUGUAAGUAACUAUGCACGUCUUGACGGUACCUAAUCAGAAAGCCACGGCUAACUACGUG
This 497-nucleotide ribosomal RNA is filed under the name uncultured bacterium. RNAcentral describes it as "partial 16S ribosomal RNA". It matches the Rfam family "Bacterial small subunit ribosomal RNA", at positions 28 to 507 of the family's 1533-position model. The record is from RNAcentral.